ACUAAUAUAGCUUAAUUAAAGUAAAACACUGAAAAUGUUUAGAUAGAUUCAUUUCUUAUUAGUA
RNAcentral lists this transfer RNA (64 nucleotides) under Argulus americanus. Its description in RNAcentral is "tRNA-Phe". It matches the Rfam family "tRNA". From Rfam's summary of the family: Transfer RNA (tRNA) molecules are approximately 80 nucleotides in length. Their secondary structure includes four short double-helical elements and three loops (D, anti-codon, and T loops). The record is from RNAcentral. Lineage: Eukaryota; Metazoa; Arthropoda; Ichthyostraca; Arguloida; Argulidae.